Molecule: RNA transcript, 1193 nt
Organism: Odobenus rosmarus divergens (Pacific walrus)
Lineage: Eukaryota; Metazoa; Chordata; Mammalia; Carnivora; Odobenidae
Gene name: diacylglycerol kinase zeta-like
Exons: 4
Source: RefSeq, a predicted model, not a curated record
AUGGAUGUUGGAGAGGAUAUGGAGAAACAGGAGCCUGAAGGUGGUGGAGCCAAGUCCCCCACCUCCCAGAAACUGUCCCCUAAGUGGUGCUUCCUAGACGCCACCACUGCCAGCCGCUUCUACAGGAUCGACCGGGCCCAGGAACACCUCAACUAUGUAACUGAGAUCGCACAGGACGAGAUUUAUAUCUGGGACCCUGGAGCUGCUGGGGGCAUCGGCCCGGCCUGACCUCCCAACCCCCACUUCCCCUCUCCCCACCUCCCCCUGCUCACCCACGCUCAGGUCACUGCCAGGGGAUGCGGGGCCCCCUAAAGGUGAGGAGCUGAUUGAGGCUGCCAAGAAGAACAACUUCUGUAAGCUCCAGGAGCUGCACCGAGCUGGGGGUGACCUCAUGCACCGGGAUGAGCAGAGCCGCACGCUCCUGCACCAUGCGGUCAGCACAGGCAGCAAGGAUGUGGUCCGCUACCUGCUGGACCACGCCCCCCCCCAGAGAUCCUUAACGCAGUGGAGGAGAACGGGGAGACCUGUCUGCACCUGGCAGCAGCCCUGGGCCAGCGCACCAUCUGCCACUACAUCGUGGAAGAGGGGGCCUCUCUCAUGAAGACAGACCAGCAGGGCGACACACUCCCCGGCAGCGGGCCGAGAAGGCUGAAGACACGGAGCUCGCUGCCUACUUGGAGAACCCGCAGCACUACCAGAUGAUCCAGCGGGAGGACCAAGAGACAGCCGUGAAGCUGGAGGGACAGGGCCAGCCAGGGGAGGAGCCCCUCAUUGCCCACCUCACUGCCACAUUCCAGUCGGAUGACCACGGGGGCACCCAUGCCCCAAGGAAGGAGACCCGUGCUGCCCCCUGUGGAGCCGCCCAGGCCUGGGGCUGGACUCUGAGGAGCUGGGGGAUCCCACCUGUCCCCCUGAGGCCCCAGCCUGACCCGGGCCUGACAGGGGAACAGGAAACUGGACUGGGCCGGGCAGCAAACCACAUCACACCAGAGCAGGCUACCACUGGGACCAUCAGAGCCAUCCUUAGCUGUCAGUGCAAACCCCCUGACCAGAUACCAUUUAUUAAGCUGCUAGGAUUUAUGUACGCGAGUGUGAUCAAUACUGUGGAAACUGGGGAUCCGUUAUCCCCAGCUGAGGUUGCUAAAGAAACUAUCAACUCUUUACAUACAUAUGAAUUAGACGAUGAGACUUGA